Molecule: small RNA, 50 nt
Filed under: Arabidopsis thaliana (thale cress)
Lineage: Eukaryota; Viridiplantae; Streptophyta; Magnoliopsida; Brassicales; Brassicaceae
Description: ATSL200240
Source: RNAcentral
AUAUAACGGUUACCAAACAAGGGAAAGAAGACACAUACAGUUCGUGCAAA